This 633-nucleotide ribosomal RNA is filed under the name Streptomyces sp. S11. RNAcentral's name for it is "bacterial SSU rRNA". It matches the Rfam family "Bacterial small subunit ribosomal RNA", at positions 279 to 916 of the family's 1533-position model. Lineage: Bacteria; Bacillati; Actinomycetota; Actinomycetes; Kitasatosporales; Streptomycetaceae. The record is from RNAcentral.
ACGGGUAGCCGGCCUGAGAGGGCGACCGGCCACACUGGGACUGAGACACGGCCCAGACUCCUACGGGAGGCAGCAGUGGGGAAUAUUGCACAAUGGGCGAAAGCCUGAUGCAGCGACGCCGCGUGAGGGAUGACGGCCUUCGGGUUGUAAACCUCUUUCAGCAGGGAAGAAGCGAAAGUGACGGUACCUGCAGAAGAAGCGCCGGCUAACUACGUGCCAGCAGCCGCGGUAAUACGUAGGGCGCAAGCGUUGUCCGGAAUUAUUGGGCGUAAAGAGCUCGUAGGCGGCCUGUCACGUCGGAUGUGAAAGCCCGGGGCUUAACCCCGGGUCUGCAUUCGAUACGGGCAGGCUAGAGUUCGGUAGGGGAGAUCGGAAUUCCUGGUGUAUCGGUGAAAUGCGCAGAUAUCAGGAGGAACACCGGUGGCGAAGGCGGAUCUCUGGGCCGAUACUGACGCUGAGGAGCGAAAGCGUGGGGAGCGAACAGGAUUAGAUACCCUGGUAGUCCACGCCGUAAACGUUGGGAACUAGGUGUGGGCGACAUUCCACGUCGUCCGUGCCGCNAGCUAACGCAUUAAGUUCCCCGCCUGGGGAGUAACGGCCCCCAAGGCUUAAAACUCAAAAGGAAUUUGACGG